AUAUAUAUAAUGAUAUAUAUAUUUAUAUAUAUUUUAAAGAAAGUAUUUUAUUUUAAUAUAAAUAAUAUUUAUUAUAUAAUAUUUUAUAAUAUAAAUAUAAUUUAUAAAUACAUAAUAAUUUAUUUUAAAGUAUUAAAUAUAUUCUAUUAUAUAUUAUAUUACAUACUUAAUUAAUGUAUAAUAUAUUUUAAAUAUAUUUUGUUUAUAAAUAUAAAUUAUAAUAAUAAUAUAUAU
RNAcentral lists this long non-coding RNA (234 nucleotides) under Ananas comosus (pineapple). Its description in RNAcentral is "long non-coding RNA (ACOM_LNC014739)". The record is from RNAcentral. Lineage: Eukaryota; Viridiplantae; Streptophyta; Magnoliopsida; Poales; Bromeliaceae.